GCGGAGCUAGACGCGUCGACUCUGGGGUGCCAGCCCGGAGAAGCCCUGGCAGUGAACCUGGCCUUCGCGCUCUCUCGUGUCCCGGACGAGAGCGUCUCUCCCGCGAACCCCCGCGACGAGCUCCUCCGUCGCGUGCGCGCCCUCCGGCCGCGCGUGGUGGCGCUGGUGGAGCAGGAUAUCAACACCAGCACCGCCGCCUUCGCCGGCCGCUUCGCGGAGGCGUGCGCGCACUACGGCGCCCUGCUGGAGUCGCUCGACGCGACGGUGAACCGGGACAGCGCCGAGAGGGCCCGAGUCGAGGCCGGUUU
This 308-nucleotide long non-coding RNA is filed under the name Musa acuminata (dwarf banana). RNAcentral describes it as "long non-coding RNA (MACU_LNC007579)". Lineage: Eukaryota; Viridiplantae; Streptophyta; Magnoliopsida; Zingiberales; Musaceae. The record is from RNAcentral.